CUAUGCGCCUUGCCAGCCCGCUCAGUCAGAGUUUGAUCCUGGCUCAGGAUGAACGCUGGCGGCGUGCCUAAUACAUGCAAGUCGAGCGAACGGAUAAGGAGCUUGCUCCUUUGAAGUUAGCGGCGGACGGGUGAGUAACACGUGGGUAACCUACCUAUAAGACUGGAAUAACUUCGGGAAACCGGAGCUAAUGCCGGAUAACAUAUAGAACCGCAUGGUUCUAUAGUGAAAGAUGGUUUUGCUAUCACUUAUAGAUGGACCCGCGCCGUAUUAGCUAGUUGGUAAGGUAAUGCUUACCAAGGCGACGAUACGUAGCCGACCUGAGAGGGUGAUCGGCCACACUGGAACUGAGACACGGUCCAG
Molecule: ribosomal RNA, 363 nt
Filed under: uncultured bacterium
Lineage: Bacteria
Description: bacterial SSU rRNA
Rfam family: Bacterial small subunit ribosomal RNA
Source: RNAcentral